AGAUUCAGCAUUUCAUCCAGCUCGUUGCAUUGUUCUCCUGUCAAAGCGAAUCUGAUUUACCCCACGGGAGAUGAAAGAGGAGCUACCAUCGAGGAAGGGGCAGCUUCCACUGCUGGUUCCAUACGAAGAAGUCCCAGUUUGAAGGUAUAAUCCAAACAAUACUGUCCAGGUAGCAACCCGCCACCUGCAAGUCCUCGCACAGAAAGACAAGGUUUUCAUACAGACCUGCGUCGGCUAAAUGCCGAGCGGACGUCUCAAUGACAUAGGCUGGAUGACGCGCGUUGGAAACCACGACCAAACCUCCUGCUCCAAACUUCUGCGGAUYGGCGUGGUCAGGGCUCACAAGCGCGCAUCGCGUUGGGGUUUCGUUCUCGAGGACGAGCUCAGUGCAGGACUUCCCAGGACAGGGCCGAGGGCAGGAGCAGCGCUGGAAGGGGAGCGGCAAAACCCGGCGCCUUCCCGCUCCCCCCGAUCCCACGCAGCCCCCUCCACGCCCCUCCACCCGUGCUGGAGCUCGAGAAAGGAGCCACCAAACCCAACGCUUCUGCUUGGCCGCAGCGGGUUAGAAGCAUCGCUUCCCGCAACCCUUCCACCCUGUUUUGGCUGCCAAUUUCCAGGGAAAACCUUCACCUUGCAAAUCAGGGGAGUAGCUGAAGCUUUCAGACAGGCCUGCAACAAACUCGGAUCUGAGGAUUUUUCAAUAAUGUUCCCAAAGGAAAGCUGCUUUCAUCAGAUAUUUAAGAUUUGCGGCCCUGCUCGCCCAUUACGAGCACCACGAGCGUGGACGGUGCGGCGGCCGGGCAUCACCUCCGCCAAAAGCAGGCGGACUGCUAAAAUCCCGGUGAGGUGCAGCGCUCGGAAGGGGACGCCUUUGGCUGUUGCAGGCUCUCAGAUGCCUGCAGUUGCCACCACCGCGUAAGCAAACCCGCAAUUGCACUGCAAGUCGCCUACAGUAAAUAUCCAAGGAAUUGUUUUGUCCUUCAGGAAGUUUUCUGACCGACACCGUCGCUGUACAUCGAUGCUGAGAUUUGGAGUCAACCAAAACACGGAUGUGAAACAAGCAUUAAAUCACCUGCAGAAACACUGACACCCAGACCCGAGUCACCCCAACCCCCACGUUUCUUGUUCAUGAAACACAUACCGUGGAAAGUUAAAGCAAGUCGCAUUAAAACAGCUAUAUUCAAGGAAAGAGACACCAUAAUUCGGACCAGUAUUCACCAGAGUAUUUCAAAUAAUAACCCUGACUUUUUAGCCAUUACUUACAGCGUGUGGGUGGCCUAAAAGGAGGCUCCAUUUAUAUCUACGGCUGCCCAAAUGAAGCUGCUUCUGUGGUCAGAGAAUUGACCAGGAUACAAGAAAACAGCAGAGGGAAGAGCAACCUUCACCGUUAGCCAUCUGCUGUAUUGCAGGUUUCCAAAGAAAACGGCCCAUGCGGAAGCCAGACAGCGACGCAGCCCGGCUCAGCGCAUCCCGUCCGCCGCUUCCGCUGCUUCCCCGCCUGGCGCCGCCAGACAAGCGGAAAGCCUUCGGCGUGCUCAGUCUUUGGGGCCACCUUGGCAUCUCACUUGCGGGGUCGCCUGUAAACACCUUGACUGGUUUUAAUCCCGUUUGAGCAGUACUUACGGUUCGAGUCUUUCAGAACGCAGAAAGGGACGGUUACGCGGGGCGAUGCGUUAGCUCGUGGCAGAUUUCAGCAACCCCCCGCGUUCCUCCUUAGCGUGGCGAGCGCGUCGAAGCCCCUACGUGGCCCUGACCGCUGCGGUCACGGCGCCGAACAGAGCUUAAUCAGAUCUUCCGAGACAUUCGGAAAAAAGCUUUUAUUCCCAACACGCCUGCCUGGCUGGGAGUCUAACUCGACCACCCCGGAUGGAAGUGUCACCAACGGAAUCGGAUUGCUUUGCCUUAAAAGAGAACGCGCACGGGUGUGAAACAGAGUCCUUAAGGAGAAAGCAAAGGGCAUCGCGGCACGGCUCAGCCGGGGGGGGCCCAGCAAACACGGCGAACGCGGAGCCGGGGGAGGCGGACGUGCAGCGCCGAGCUCAUCCCUGCCGAAAGUCCGGUCGGCCCCCGACGCCGCUCCCGAGAGCCCGAUUUGGAGGUUUCCAGGCUACGUACCUGUUGCGCUCGGGUGCGUUUCCACGGUCCAACUUAUGGCGAGGGCAGCGCGAGCUUUCGGCGCCCGGCCCCUAGGAAGCCCCCGAGGGCAGGAGCUCACUCUGGCCCCAGCGCCUGCGCGCUGCCCUGCCUCCUCUCCGCAAACCCGGGGCUCCUUGGGGGCUCCGGUCACACGGGUCACAACUCCAGCCCGCCCCGUCCUCAGCGGGACCCGGCUCCGCCACGCGGGGCAGGUCCUGCCGAGGACGGGUUUUCCCCGCACCCCGGCCGUGCCGCGGGGCGCAGAGCUGYGCCGGCGCAUGCCGCAGCCAAGGGAGCAUUUUACACCCAAAUACACACAGUAAUGGGAAACUGGAAUAACAGCGAGCGUUGUGAACUCAGACAGCAAACAUAUUUAAUGUACGAAACGUGUUUUUGACAUACGUUCAUUUAACAAGUCAGUUUUGUUUUUAUUAAACGUGACUUUGGUACAAGCAGGUCAUUCCUGCGAUUAGUUUACAAGUUUUAAACCAAAACCAAAACCAUAUGGCUUCACUGUAUUCCUGUGCAAAGUUAGGGAGGGGCACAGAUAUGACUGCUUUUUUCUUUGCUUUUUUUUCCCCCCUUUUUAACAGGCAUUUGCCUACCGGGAAGCCCAUCUGUUACAAAUACAGACCCCACAGCCAGGAACUCCGAGUCUCCGGCUGCAAACUGCUUCCCCUCCAUUAACAAACGGCAUUUCGUCGUCCUUUCGCCGGGCUCCGCUACCACCGCACGCACGGCCGGCGCAGCGGGAGGAGCGCGGCCCGGCGAGGCAGAGCCGCCCGGCACCCGAGAGCCGGGCAGGGARCUUUGGGAAGGGGGGUUAAGCCAAGGCACGCGCGUUAUCCCUACGAAAACGGAACACGUGAAGGGUUGGGAGAUUUUGGUUACGGAAGCCGUAAGUCUCCAGGGGAAAGCUAAUAGCGAGUUAUUGCUAGUGAACGCCGGGAUGGUUGGUUAAGGCCRUUAAAAGGUUCCCGUUACGAUCCCAAGCCACAGCGAGGAGAGGAGCAAACGAAAAUCCCAUUACGACAACAGUUUCCGCAGCGAGCUGAAAACUGGUCUCGCGCUCAUGCCACGUUGCUCCUCUUCCGCUUGGCAGUUUGGUCACAGUGUUAAACACUUUGCGUGGGUUCUCACCCCGAGAUUAGUGUCUUGGGUUAAGUGCAAGCCAUGCAGCAGCCUGAAUUAGCAAUUUAUCUUUUGGCAAGUAGCUUAGAUUUCAACUUUAUCAAGAAACCUGAUCAAGCCAACUUUUCCCAAUCGAGAGACACAACGCGUCUUAGUCCUUGCUAUAUAAUCUCUUCUGUGCAAUAUAUUGCAAGCAUUAAGGUGAAAGCACCAAUUAAUUUCUUCUGCAUGAGAUGUUUUGGCCUUAAUAAAUCUUCUAAUUAACAUGUCUUCCUGAUGUUA
RNAcentral lists this long non-coding RNA (3549 nucleotides) under Apteryx rowi (Okarito brown kiwi). RNAcentral describes it as "lncRNA (ENSARWG00000001889.1)". The record is from RNAcentral. Lineage: Eukaryota; Metazoa; Chordata; Aves; Apterygiformes; Apterygidae.